This 452-nucleotide long non-coding RNA is filed under the name Amborella trichopoda. Its description in RNAcentral is "long non-coding RNA (ATRI_LNC001432)". Lineage: Eukaryota; Viridiplantae; Streptophyta; Magnoliopsida; Amborellales; Amborellaceae. The record is from RNAcentral.
GAUCCCAUCUAGGAUCUCGAUUUUGUCUCUCCCAGAACGUAUCUCUCACGGAUCUCGAUUUUUAAACUUUGAGAUCGCGAAUCCCACUGAUAGGAAUCCCGAUUCUUGCUGUUAGAGAUCUCCAUCCCAGCCUUAAAGACCAAGACAACAACCAAAUUGAUGACUUUAUUUGUUUAUAGCCAACUAGCAAUACAACUAUUGCUUUCUUGCUAUCAAUAAUGAGAUCCCUACUUUAAAGAGUAUACAUAAUCCUAGAUUGCCAUACAAUUUAAGGUUGGUAACAAGAUCCCCAAAAGGUCGGGGAUCAAGAUGCCCAAAAGGUUGGGAAUCUCGAUCCCUAAUAUUUGGGAUCUCGAUCCCUAACACGUGCAUUGUACAGACGACGUUCCCAACCAUAGGGAUCUUCUUGCAUUUCACGAUCCCGAUCCUAGUACCAUUCCCUCUCCCGAUCC